GGCUGGUCUGAUGGUGGUGAGUUAUCAGAAGAUAUUAGCACUGAUGUCACUAAAGUUGAUACUGCUGAAUUUGACUGGCUUAAA
RNAcentral lists this non-coding RNA (84 nucleotides) under Otolemur garnettii (small-eared galago). The record is from RNAcentral. Lineage: Eukaryota; Metazoa; Chordata; Mammalia; Primates; Galagidae.